CAAGUUUGUUAGGUGAUGACAGUGGAGCAGCAGGCAGUUUUCGUCCUAGUGUGAGCUGCUACCGGAGUGGAGGCUGCUCAGAAGUUAUGGGAAUUACAUCAGGCUGAGCAGACGCAGCGACGGUCGUUGAGAAAAUUAAUGCUGGUUAGUUGAUCAGUCUGUCAAGCAUGAUGAGUGAAAAUUUAGAGGGCAAAAACUAGUAAGGCCUGAAAGUCUAUGACGCAUAAUUCACCCAAACCAAAGUUCCCAUGAAACAAACAUGCAGUGUUUGGCCGACAGUUAAGGUCAAAGUGUACGUGACUACACUGCAGUGAUUCUCAAACUGCGCCGCGGCGCAGAAGUGCGCUGCGUAAUUUUCAUGGAUAAGGUAUACAGUACACUGACUGUAGAGUUGGUGCGUCGUCAAAGCCCAAGUUAUAUAAUUAGUGUGCCACUGAGCAAUAACGUUUUGAGAACCUCUGGACUAAAGGAACGGUAUUGAUUCAGGCUUUGAUGUCAUGUCAGACAACUUUGUAGAGAAAGUAAAUAGAUGUCUUCUGAGCACAUUUCCUACUCUGCUUUUUGGAAGGAUUAAUAAUCUAGUUUCGGUAAAUUUAUAGUUUAAGCCAAUGUCCCCAAUCUCUACCCACGGCGUUAUUAUUGAUUUCCGACAAGUAGUGUAAUCAUUAGAAAUGAUGUGAAUAGUGAGAAGAACAAAAUGAGGUAGGUUAUUACCACGUAGUGUGUAAUGGCUUAAACUAUAAUAAAACCCUAGUUUCACUCGAGUAACAUUUAUGAAUUAAUGGACUGCAAAGAUUGUGUGGAUUAUUUGCUUGCGGCAGAAGAUCCAGUAAUAGUCAGCGCCACUGAUAUUAGCACGCUUCAUUGUGUGAGGCUCAUGAGCAAGAGGACAUCAUUAAAGAAGUGCAGCAGUCGAGAGGUGUAUUUGCUGAAGACUUCUUAUCCUGAACUACGUGACAUAAUGGUAGCAUGGUCAUCAGAUGCUGCAGGCCCACUGCUGGAUGAGGCUCCCCUACUCUCCCAGAACUGAGUCAGCUCUGCUCCACCAUUCACUAUAACAGAGAAACUUCUAUCAAGUAACAUUGCAAAGCAAAGGAUAAGGCACUACUAAUCACCAAGAGAGGAACACGCAGGCACAAAGAGAGAGAGAGAGAGAGAGAGAGAGAGAGAGAGAGAGAGAGCUUUGUCUAAAUGUGUGGCAAAUAAUUUAUUUCCUUUCAGUGUGUUGGCACAGAGGCCUUGCCAUUCAUUGUCGAGGGUCUGGAAUAAAAACGUAAUGUAAAAACUAAAAGGAAAAACAUACCAAUGAAGCUGUGUAAAGAGGACAUGCUGACACAGUGCUCAGACAAGGAGGCAAAGUGCAGGGACUCUAUAAUUGUAGUUUGGUACUGUUACCAGAGUCUUGCUGAAAAAGAUAUGGGUAUAAUUGUAGUUUGGUACUGUUACCAGAGUCUUACUGAAAAAGAUAUGGGUAACAGUUCCAAACUUUCAAUAAGACUGGUAACAGUACCAAAUUAGAAUUAUAGAGUCCCUGCACUUUGCCUCCUUGUCUGAGCACUGUGUCAGCAUGUCCUCUUUACACAGCUUCAUUGGUAUAUUUUUCCUUUUAGUUUUUACAUUACCUUUUUAUUCCAGACCCUUGACAAUGAAAGGCAAGGCCUCUGUGCCAACACACUGAAAGGAAAUAGUUUGCUGCUGCACUUGCUGUGUUAUUUAUCCUGAAUGUUGUAGACAACAAAUCCGUAAAAAACAUCACACUGUUUAAAAGAAAUAAAGUGAAAAAUUCCUCGCACAA
Molecule: long non-coding RNA, 1795 nt
Organism: Scylla paramamosain (green mud crab)
Lineage: Eukaryota; Metazoa; Arthropoda; Malacostraca; Decapoda; Portunidae
Exons: 3
Source: RefSeq, a predicted model, not a curated record